AUUGAACGCUGGCGGCAGGCCUAACACAUGCAAGUCGAGCGGAUGAAGGGAGCUUGCUCCUGGAUUCAGCGGCGGACGGGUGAGUAAUGCCUAGGAAUCUGCCUGGUAGUGGGGGAUAACGUCCGGAAACGGGCGCUAAUACCGCAUACGUUCUGAGGGAGAAAGUGGGGGAUCUUCGGACCUCACGCUAUCAGAUGAGCCUAGGUCGGAUUAGCUAGUUGGUGGGGUAAAGGCCUACCAAGGCGACGAUCCGUAGCUGGUCUGAGAGGAUGAUCAGUCACACUGGAACUGAGACACGGUCCAGACUCCUACGGGAGGCAGCAGUGGGGAAUAUUGGACAAUGGGCGAAAGCCUGAUCCAGCCAUGCCGCGUGUGUGAAGAAGGUCUUCGGAUUGUAAAGCACUUUAAGUUGGGAGGAAGGGCAGUAAGUUAAUACCUUGCUGUUUUGACGUUACCAACAGAAUAAGCACCGGCUAACUUCGUG
This 484-nucleotide ribosomal RNA is filed under the name uncultured bacterium. RNAcentral's name for it is "partial 16S ribosomal RNA". It matches the Rfam family "Bacterial small subunit ribosomal RNA", at positions 30 to 507 of the family's 1533-position model. The record is from RNAcentral.